GAUGAACGCUGGCGGCGUGCUUAACACAUGCAAGUCGAGCGAGAAGUUUUGAAAAGAUUCUUCGGAUGAAAUUUAAAAUGGAAAGCGGCGGACGGGUGAGUAACGCGUAGGCAACCUGCCCCAUACAAAGGGAUAGCAUUUGGAAACGAAUAUUAAUACCUUAUGAAACUUAACUAGUGCAUGCUAGGUAGGUCAAAGAUUUAUCGGUAUGGGAUGGGCCUGCGUUUGAUUAGCUAGUUGGUGAGGUAACGGCUCACCAAGGCGACGAUCAGUAGCCGACCUGAGAGGGUGAACGGCCACAUUGGAACUGAGACACGGUCCAAACUCCUACGGGAGGCAGCAGUGGGGAAUAUUGCACAAUGGGGGAAACCCUGAUGCAGCAACGCCGCGUGAACGAUGAAGGCCUUUGGGUCGUAAAGUUCUGUUCUAGGUGAUGAAAACUGACAGUAACCUAGGAGAAAGCCCCGGCUAACUCCGUG
This 479-nucleotide ribosomal RNA is filed under the name uncultured bacterium. RNAcentral describes it as "partial 16S ribosomal RNA". It matches the Rfam family "Bacterial small subunit ribosomal RNA", at positions 28 to 507 of the family's 1533-position model. The record is from RNAcentral.